AGUAGCUCAGCUGGAUAGAGUACUGCCCUCCGAAGGCAGGGGUCGUGGGUUCGAAUCCCGCCUGGUGCACCA
Molecule: transfer RNA, 72 nt
Filed under: Pseudomonas amygdali pv. morsprunorum str. M302280
Lineage: Bacteria; Pseudomonadati; Pseudomonadota; Gammaproteobacteria; Pseudomonadales; Pseudomonadaceae
Description: tRNA-Arg
Rfam family: tRNA
About the family: Transfer RNA (tRNA) molecules are approximately 80 nucleotides in length. Their secondary structure includes four short double-helical elements and three loops (D, anti-codon, and T loops).
Source: RNAcentral